AGAGUUUGAUCAUGGCUCAGAAUCAACGCUGGCGGCGUGCCUCAGACAUGCAAGUCGAACGAGAAAGUCCCCUUCGGGGGAUGAGUAAAGUGGCGCACGGGUGAGUAACACGUAGGUAAUCUACCUUCGGGUGGGGAAUAACCCAGGGAAACUUGGGCUAACACCGCAUAAUGCAGCGGCACCACAUGGUGACAGUUGUUAAAGCGGGGGAUUUUAGGACCUCGCGCCUGAAGAGGAGCCUGCGGCGGAUUAGCUAGUUGGUAGGGUAACGGCUUACCAAGGCGACGAUCCGUAACCGGCCUGAGAGGGCGGUCGGUCACACUGACACUGACAUGCGGGUCAGACUCCUACGGGAGGCAGCAGUCGGGAAUUUUGGGCAAUGGGCGAAAGCCUGACCCAGCAACGCCGCGUGAAGGAUGAAAUCCCUCGGGAUGUAAACUUCGCAAGAAUAGGAAGAAUUAGUAGGGGCUAAUACCCCCUAUGAUGACGGUACUAUUUGUAAGCUCCGGCUAACUCCGUGCCAGCAGCCGCGGUAAUACGGGGGGAGCAAGCGUUGUUCGGAUUUACUGGGCGUAAAGGGCGCGUAGGCGGUAGCACAAGUCAGUUGUGAAAUCUCCGGGCUUAACUCGGAAAGGUCAACUGAUACUGUGCGACUAGAGUGCAG
This 664-nucleotide ribosomal RNA is filed under the name uncultured Acidobacterium sp. RNAcentral's name for it is "bacterial SSU rRNA". It matches the Rfam family "Bacterial small subunit ribosomal RNA", at positions 8 to 651 of the family's 1533-position model. The record is from RNAcentral. Lineage: Bacteria; Pseudomonadati; Acidobacteriota; Terriglobia; Terriglobales; Acidobacteriaceae.